GAGCCUAAAGAGAUGUCUUUCUAUGGUCUGUUGGCCAUUUAAGAACUUGGGCAGUGAAAUGGUCAAUUCAUUAGAAAAAAACAGCU
This 86-nucleotide small nucleolar RNA is filed under the name Cavia aperea (Brazilian guinea pig). Lineage: Eukaryota; Metazoa; Chordata; Mammalia; Rodentia; Caviidae. The record is from RNAcentral.